This is a long non-coding RNA of Sycon ciliatum, 638 nucleotides long. RefSeq lists it as uncharacterized. NCBI's taxonomy places the organism in Eukaryota, Metazoa, Porifera, Calcarea, Leucosolenida, Sycettidae. The transcript has 2 exons. The record is from RefSeq and is a predicted model, not a curated record.
GAGUCGUCAAAUACCGGGAGUGGAAACGAGAUGCGCGAGCGUGAUCCAUGCUCGCCUCGCGCUGGAGCACGCCGAUUUUUUUCAAAUAAUCUUUUUUGUGCCACAUUCACCAAUUCCGCGGGAUUUUCAAAAUGUCAAAAUUUAUUUUGGUUCUUCCUGCAAGCGGAGCAGUUCAGACGUCUCCAUACAUAAACCUUCUCGUCAGAUUUCCGCUUCCCUUUUGUAGUAUUAUCAAUCUUCGUCGGCAGUGCAUGGGCAUGCUGGACAGGGAGAUAUCGGUAGCCAUUUUACGGCUGAUGUUUUAGGAACUUGGGCGAGAGACCUGGAGACCACAUCAGCUGUGUUUUCAAGUUUAAUUUGCGGUACAGUAGUGGCAAGAAAGCCGUCCAUCAUGCCAGCAUCAUCCGCAGCAGCAACAGCAGCAGCACCCCAGCCCACCGCCAUAGUCAACUGCACUGCAGAGACACCUAAAAGAUACCAUGGUGGUUGGUGUGUUGUUGCGGUGAGAAGAGAACUGGAAGCUAGCAGAAAGCCUGAGUUAACUAGCCUCAAGCCGGUGUUGGCGACUUUCGGCCAUGAAAUUCUGGCCAACAUGUCUCCGAAUCUACCAAACUUUGAAAAGAUAAUUGAAUCUGAGA